RNAcentral lists this long non-coding RNA (1431 nucleotides) under Triticum aestivum (bread wheat). Its description in RNAcentral is "long non-coding RNA (TAES_LNC007587)". The record is from RNAcentral. Lineage: Eukaryota; Viridiplantae; Streptophyta; Magnoliopsida; Poales; Poaceae.
GAGUCUAGUGGCAUUGUUACAAAGUACUCAUUUACUCUUAGAAAAAAUGACACUGCAUUUUUUUACAUUCAGAAAUUAGCUGCUCCGACUACAGACCGAGUGUUCAACAUGCAGCUGCUUACAUACACUGAGAAUACACAUAUACUACUGCAUAGCUCACAACCAUGCACGAGUGUUGUCACUACCCGGGUCAAUAGCAGCAAUCAACAGUCCUCAUUAGCAAUAAACAAAACAAAACAAAACAAAAAAUCCUGCAUAGUCCACCCAUUGUCGCAUGCACACUUGUCAUAAUUUUUUCUGAACCAAACCAGCAAUUAAUGACGAAACUCCUCAUACAGAUGUAUCCCUACAAAUACUAAAUCAAACUUAAACGAAAGAAAGUCACUAAGACCAAUUGUCAUGCAACCAGCCAAUAAGAGAAAAGAAACACAUGCCAAGAAACAUUAGUCAGUGGGAAUCGAAAUGAAAGCCUAUGCAUUCAUUAAUUGGCUCUCAGGAGACCCAAAUGCAACUCGCAUGCAGAUGAAUGAAGUGAGACAAAUAGCAGGUCCUAAGCUAUAAACGUGUAAGAUUAUGAAGUUGUCCUAUCAGUUCGUUUUUAGAUAUCAGCAAGAAGUUUUGUGGGUAAGAAAGUUUUCAGUAAGCUGAAGAGUCUUGUGCUUAGAAAGCUUAUCUUCUGCAAGCGAGAAAGAAGAACCAGAACACCACGGCUGCACCAGAGAUCGAGGUAAUCCUGCCAUCGAGAGGACAUGGAAAGGGGGGCGUCGCUGAACCUGUGCAGAUGGGUUGAAGUUGUGCUGGCGAGACGGCAUGUUGCAUAGCUGCCAAGCUAAUGACCGAGACGCUUGAUCCAUACUCGGCCAGGAAGAAAGAGCAGCUUCUAUUUGUGCUUCCACCUUCCCACGGUGGUACUGGUGUUCCAUACGGCGAGCGGCAGCUUUGCUAGCUCCUGCACUAUUCAUGCUUCCAUAUCAAGAGUUGGCUGCAGGUCUGGUCAUCCAGAUCAGGGGCCAGCAGCAUUUGAUUCCCGUGGUAAAAAGAGGCGCCCGCUCCUAAUGCAUACCUGCUGCGGCUGCAAGGAAAGGGGAAAAUUGGGAGAUGAGUAGGAAAGAGGCAGGGGGAGAAAGCCAUCAACCUUAUUAGCGGGGGAACGCACCAGCGACCGAAGGCGGCGCGGUUCAUCUCGACGACGGCGGCACACCCGCGCUCGCGCGGGAGGAUGACCACACUGCGGAGGAGUCGCACAGGGCAGGGAGAGCCCGUGACCGGCGAGCGACCUAGGAUAGAACCCCAUGCACUCCAUGGAGAAAUCGGCGGCGCUGGAUCGGACAUCAACAGGGCAGAGCUCACGCUGUAUUCAAUGGGAGGGGCGUCGGGAGAGAAGGAGCCGGGAUUAUGGCGCAGCCGAGAUGGAAGACACACAUGGAGUGG